GGGUGAUUAGCUCAGCUGGGAGAUCAUCUGCCUUACAAGCAGAGGGUCGGCGGUUCGAUCCCGUCAUCACCCACCA
RNAcentral lists this transfer RNA (76 nucleotides) under Pseudomonas aeruginosa. RNAcentral describes it as "tRNA-Val". It matches the Rfam family "tRNA". From Rfam's summary of the family: Transfer RNA (tRNA) molecules are approximately 80 nucleotides in length. Their secondary structure includes four short double-helical elements and three loops (D, anti-codon, and T loops). Lineage: Bacteria; Pseudomonadati; Pseudomonadota; Gammaproteobacteria; Pseudomonadales; Pseudomonadaceae. The record is from RNAcentral.